UACGGAGGGUGCAAACGUUGCUCGGAAUCAUUGGGCGUAAAGGGCUCGUAGGCGGUUUGUCGCGUCGGGAGUGAAAACCAGGUGCUUAACACCUGGCUUGCUUUCGAUACGGGCAGACUAGAGGUAUUCAGGGGAGAACGGAAUUCCUGGUGUAGCGGUGAAAUGCGCAGAUAUCAGGAGGAACACCGGUGGCGAAGGCGGUUCUCUGGGAAUGACCUGACGCUGAGGAGCGAAAGUGUGGGGAGCGAACAGG
This 253-nucleotide ribosomal RNA is filed under the name uncultured bacterium. Its description in RNAcentral is "partial 16S ribosomal RNA". It matches the Rfam family "Bacterial small subunit ribosomal RNA", at positions 524 to 776 of the family's 1533-position model. The record is from RNAcentral.